Grammomys surdaster is the source of this 180-nucleotide long non-coding RNA. RefSeq lists it as uncharacterized. The record is from RefSeq and is a predicted model, not a curated record. The transcript has 2 exons. NCBI's taxonomy places the organism in Eukaryota, Metazoa, Chordata, Mammalia, Rodentia, Muridae.
AGAACAACUUGGAGACCAUUCUGUCCUUCUAUCAUGGGGGUUCUGGGGGUCAAACUGAGGUCAUCAUGUUUGGUGGCCAGAAGAGGACAUUGGAUCCCUGGUUCUGAACUCAUGGAUAUUUGUGAGCUGACUUGUUGCAGUAAUUUCUUACCCCAAUAAACCUGUGUAAAAAACAGACAA